Molecule: non-coding RNA, 709 nt
Organism: Nipponia nippon (crested ibis)
Lineage: Eukaryota; Metazoa; Chordata; Aves; Pelecaniformes; Threskiornithidae
Source: RefSeq, a predicted model, not a curated record
UUUUGACAGUGGCAGAAUUGUUCUCUUCAGAGCUCCUUGCAGCCUCUGGGUGAUCGGGACAUUGAAUUUGGCAGACAGUUACCAUUCGUUCCCUGGGAUCGUACUUGCCCUUGCUAUCCUCAUCCCCUCCCACACUCCCCUUCCCUCUGAUAAAACUCCAGGGCAUUGCGGUAUUGCUAUGGAGCCCAGGGAGACUUUGGGCAGCUCCCGGCAAAGGGGGGGUGAGGCAGACUUUCUGCCAGCCACCGUCACCUCCGCAAAGCCUCCACCUGCCUCCAGCUGCACGGGGGAGACGAUGCUGCCUGUGGCAGGGGCUGGGAAAGGGAUCCCAGUGAGCGGUGAGAGGCUGGAGCCUGAGGAAGAGGAUGAGCUGGGUUCUGGGAGAGACGUGGAUUCCACUUCCAAUGCGGACAGUGAGAAAUGGGUGGCAGGAGACGGCCUGGAGGAGCAGGAGUUUUCCAUCAAGGAGGCUAACUUCACAGAGGGGAGCUUAAAACUAAAGAUCCAGACCACCAAGAGAGCUAAGAAGCCCCCAAAGAACUUGGAGAACUAUAUUUGCCCUCCUGAGAUCAAAAUCACCAUCAAGCAAUCUGGGGAACAGAAGCUUUCUAGAGCUGGGAAAAAUAGCAAAGCAGCUAAAGAGGAGGACAGAUCACACUCCAAAAAGAAGGUAAGUGCUAUUCUUUCCCAUAUUUCCUCUUUCUCCUGA